CGUGGGUUUGAAUGCCUGGGAGUCUCGCGGCUUAAAAAGGCCUGCAAAAACAGGCGGGGAAAAGUGACGGGCGUGGACGGUGCAAUCUGCAGAAAUGCGUUCCUGCCUGGAUAAGCAGCUCACACGGAGAGGGCUGACUUGGCCUUGCGUGUCUCAAGUUGUCCUUUCCAUCCGCAACAUUACGGAGAUGUUACCAUGAGAUGAAAAUGCAACUUUGGUUAUCUUGGAGCAGAAGAUGCAAACGGAGCCACGCUCAGCCAGCCUCAUGGCAGAAGAAGCCCCGCAUGGCAUGAAGGCUUGAAGCAGCUGGGACCUCUGGGAUGGCAGGGUGCAAAAGGUCCUGCGUAAGGAUGCUUUUGUCUCAGAUGCCCACCUGUUUCGCUACCAGGAGGCCGGGGGCCCUCGAAAAGCUUGCAGCCGACUCCAUGAUCUUUGUAAUCGGUGGCCGAAGCCAGAUCAGCACACGAAAACAGAGAUGCUGGACCUGGUGAUCCUGGAGUAGUUCCUGACCCUCCUGCCCGCAGAGAUGCAGAGCUGGGUCAGGGGAUGUGGGCCAAGCACCAUGUCCCAGGCAGUGGCCCUGGCAGAAGGUUCCCUUUUGAGUCAGGCAGAGGGGGGAAAGCUGAAGAAGCAGCAGGUCAGUAGGUUUCCAAAGUUCUUCAGAAGGGGACCAGAUACCCACCAUUUUGGGAGGAAACUGCCCAUGGAGGAAUUGUCCCAAGCUCUGACAGCCUUUCCUCUACGGUGCUCUGUUAUUUCCCUGCUCCCAGUCUGAGAUCAUCAGUGCUGUUUCAGGGCCACAGACCACUGAGGGCAAGAGCAGGUCACUCACCUGCUAUAGAGAAGGAGCCAUCAGACAGCCAGGAGGCAAUUCCUUGCAGGUGGAUCAUUCAGGAAGAUGCUCAAGCAGAUGGUGGAAUUGUACUGACAGUGUACACAGGGUUGUCAAAUGGCAAAGCAGAAGCAUCUUACGAACAGACUGAGAAGCAUCCGGUGACCUUUGAGGACAUUACUGUGUAAUUCACUGAGGAGGAAUGGACUCUCUUGGGUCUGAGCCAGAGGGCCCUGUACACUGAAGUCAUGGCAGAGAAUUAUGGGGCAGUGGCUUCUCUGGAGAGCAGUGAGUUGAAGAGUGUGGAUGAAGGAGAGCUGUGCAGAACGUCAUUGGAAAGAGUUGGUUUGGAUACUGAAGGAUGGUGGAGAACAAGUACAGAUGAAAACAGGAGGAAUGAACUACUCGCGUUGCACAGUGGCAGUUUCUGUGAAGUGGACAGAGAGAGGGAAAUAAUUCAUUGCCCCCUGUGUGGGAAGAGCUUCAGUUAUAACUCAAGUCUGAGUUACCAUCUGAAAACUCACACAGGAGAGAUACCUUUUCGGUGCUCGCGGUGUGGAAAGGGGUUUGUCCGGAAAUCAGAGCUUAGUUGUCAUCAGAGAAUCCACACUGGGGAGAAACCCUUUUUCUGCAUGGAAUGUGGAAAGAACUUUUCUCAGAAGGCAAGACUGAUGCAACAUCAAAGGACACAUACAGGUACGGUCAUUUUUGGAACCUCGUGGAUUCCCAAAGGUUUCCUUUGCUGAGAGGCAUGGCGGCAGAGAUCAGCUCGUAGUUUGGACCGACGCGCCUGUGCGAGUCCGUUCUCUCAGCCGUGAAACUGCUCACAUCAGAGUGCGGAAGGCAGCUGAGCGACAGGGACCUGGGCAACUGCGUGCGAGCUGCCUUCUCCCUCUACACCCCCGAUUACAGCAAGCUUGCCAAUGACUCGUGGUGUCUUCUGGGAGCUGGGGCACAAUUGGAAGCACAGCACCGCAUCGCUGCAUAAACUGCGACUGUCGGAUCAGUCAGACUGAAACCAAAAAUAAAAUAUGUGGAAAGUAGACGGAGUUGCGUGCUGUGAAGCGCAAAGCCGGCCGGUGUGUAACAAUCGAAAUGGGGUGGAAUCCCUAGAGCACCUCCAGAGAUUCUACUAUCCAUCUUAAGUUUAUCUAAUCCUUGUUUAUGUUUCCAUUGACUAUCUUAUUUUUGCUUUAGUAUUCAAAGACUAGAAAGAAUAUAAAGCCCCAUGCAAAAGAAUAUAAAAUCCCAUGCAAAACAAGCAUAAACUUUUAUGGAUAGAGAAAUAAAUAUGAAUCACUGUGAAUUAGCUGGU
RNA transcript from Varanus komodoensis (Komodo dragon), 2147 nucleotides. It is a transcript of the gene named zinc finger protein 79-like, with no coding region annotated. The transcript is spliced from 5 exons. Lineage: Eukaryota; Metazoa; Chordata; Lepidosauria; Squamata; Varanidae. The record is from RefSeq and is a predicted model, not a curated record.